GGGAGACAGUUGGAGACUGUGAGGCAGGGGGCAGCGCCUUGCUGGUCCCAGGGCGGGCUGCUCAGGGAGGGCCUCACCUUCACUGUGCGAGGUCUGUACCUUCUCGCAGAGGCCCAGCACGCCCCCAUAGCACUUGCGGAGCUGGCCUAUGGUCUCGCUGGUGCGCUGCUCCAUGAGGUGCUACAGCUCCUUCGCCGUGCAGCCAAAGGCCUUGGCCAUGGCUGGUGAGUUGUUGAGGUGACCCUGUGUGCCCUUCCUCAUGUUUCUGGAGGACAUGGCACCGGCUGGGGGGCGGCAGUAGCAGGGGCAGGAUUCGGGCCCUGGAGGCCCAGGCCCCCUUCUGGUUAUGGGGGCUGAGGCUGGGCUCAGCUGGGGUCUAGGGGCGCCCCGCAAGGAGGGGAGAAGGGAGAGGUGCGGGACAGACCAGUGUUGCGGGGAUUGGCAUCCCUAGGCCCUGGACCUGGCUGACUGACUUCCUGGGAGCCAGGUGUAAACAGGAUGUACAUGUUACCAUGGCAACAUGGAACCCUGCUUGGGGUGGGGAAGGCGCAGCCAUCACACUUCCAAGACUUCCUAGUUGCUGGCUAGAAGCCUGCCACCUUUGGUACAAAGGGUCUGGAAAGUAUCCAGGGGAAGAAGAUCCAGACAUAUGCUUGUGUGACCAGAAGAGACAUACCCAGAAACAAAGCUGAAAAUGCCAAAACGGCUCUGAGGACCCAGACAAGUGAGUUUUUAUAGGACUUAAGAGAUGAGAGGGGAAAAACUUCCAUGGAAUUCUCCUGACCUGGGUUCUCAUGGCCAUGAGAAGACAAUAUGACCAUAUCACAAUGUAUUAGAAAGGUCAUAGUAUCAGAGGUCUAAAUUUGGAAGGUCCCUUAGAAGAAAUAGGCCAGUUCCCUCAUUUUACAGAUAAGAAGACUGAGGAAUAGAAAGGCUAAAGAUGUUGCCCAAAAUAGCAGGUAGUGAGGUUGCAGAAACAGAAUUUGAAUGCAGGCCCUCUGACUCCAAAUCUGGUCUCCCACUCUUCACUACCUCCUGAUCUCUAGAAGGUCACUGAGACUUACUCUGAAUGGUAUCUACCCUUUUUCUUGGAUCUCCUAUGCUCAUCACUCUCCUCUUCCCAAAAUUUCUGUCAAACAGUUUCAGAAAAAGGCCCACUCCCUUCAUAUAACACUCACUUACAAAGGCAGGUUAGUCAGACACAGAUAUGAAAGACUUCUGCCCCUUUUAUCAAUAUCCUCCAUAAUUCUGGGAACUGUUGCUGCUGGCUCACUAAAACCCUACUGACAUUCAGAACCUCUUGAGCCCUGGACCCAAAACCAGCAAGAAAAAAAAAAAGUAUGCCAG
RNAcentral lists this long non-coding RNA (1347 nucleotides) under Phascolarctos cinereus (koala). RNAcentral describes it as "lncRNA (ENSPCIG00000033869.1)". The record is from RNAcentral. Lineage: Eukaryota; Metazoa; Chordata; Mammalia; Diprotodontia; Phascolarctidae.